CGGAAGUGGCUCAGUGGUAGAGCAUCUCCUUGCCAAGGAGAAGGUCGCCGGUUCGACCCCGGUCUUCC
RNAcentral lists this transfer RNA (68 nucleotides) under marine eukaryotic metagenome. It matches the Rfam family "tRNA". From Rfam's summary of the family: Transfer RNA (tRNA) molecules are approximately 80 nucleotides in length. Their secondary structure includes four short double-helical elements and three loops (D, anti-codon, and T loops). The record is from RNAcentral.